This is a long non-coding RNA of Nicotiana attenuata, 480 nucleotides long. RefSeq lists it as uncharacterized. The transcript has 2 exons. The record is from RefSeq and is a predicted model, not a curated record. NCBI's taxonomy places the organism in Eukaryota, Viridiplantae, Streptophyta, Magnoliopsida, Solanales, Solanaceae.
UCAUCUCUCUCUUAAAAGAGAAACCCCUCCCCUUUCUUACUUUCCCCAUCGCCUUGCCGCUGCUGCCACCACCGAUCGCCACCAGUUCACCGCCAGUCCUUCACUGUAACUGAUAAUGUUUCUAGUUCUUGUAAAUUGAAAUGGAUAACCUGACCUGACAAGACGGAUAAUCCGAACCGAAGCACAAAAUUGAUCAAACCAGCUAAAUGUAUAUCCUAUUUGGACCAUGUAAAUAGCUACAUGUCAACAUUCAAAGCAGUUGGCAAGCAGAAUAUCCAAAUCCUAGAUUCAUUUAUCGUCCCAAUUCAGUUGCAUUCAGUCCUAAUUAAGAACUACUUGAUGGAGCAAAUUAAAUGAAUUCGCGAUGCCAAUGAUUCAAGUAUCCUAGUGUAACUACCAUUUUUGAAAUGUAAGACUAUUUGGGAACUUAAUUUUGGUCGUUAAAUAAAGAGUUUAAGCUAUAUAUGCUUAUAGUUUGUA